RNAcentral lists this long non-coding RNA (652 nucleotides) under Fragaria vesca (wild strawberry). RNAcentral's name for it is "long non-coding RNA (FVES_LNC003444)". The record is from RNAcentral. Lineage: Eukaryota; Viridiplantae; Streptophyta; Magnoliopsida; Rosales; Rosaceae.
UGAAAUCAUGCCAAGGCUUGGAAGCGGACUGAAACCUCUUCAGAGAUUUCACAGGUAGUUUGCACAGAAUGUUCCGUACCACAUUCAUCAACUCCAUGAUCGAUAACUAGUUGUUUAACUUAUUUCUUCGAUCAAUGACCUUCAGAUUGCUUAUAUAUCCCGGGGAUUAGUAUGCGUAAGAAAGAGAAAAGAGGGUAAGGAGUGAAUAAAGGAGGUAAGACCAAAAGAAAAGGAAAAAAAAGGUCGGGAACAUAGUGCCGCGAGCUCUACGUGAGGCUGAAGGAAACUCUUACGUGAGGCUAACAAGGUCGAUCAUUUGAUUAUGAAUUCUCAAAAGAGAACAGGUCAUUUCGUAUCGCAAAGUCUUCUUUCCGAAUUAAACGACACAUCAUUCCUAACUUGAAUCGUGAACAAGCUACAUCUAGCUUUUAGCAAUUUACAAGCUACAUCUUUUAGCAGUUUAGCUUAUGAAAUCUGUUUGUUACUAGCAAAACUUGAUGGUAUAACUUGUCAAAGAGUUGCAUGAUAUCAUUUACCUGAUAUAUUUUUUGCAACUUUAAAUUGAUUGUGUUAGACAAUGGUUGAAGCAGAUGAUGAAGCCUAUUAGUAUGGUGUUAAAUUUUGUUGCCUCCAUAUGGAACGCAACUAUUUU